Benincasa hispida (wax gourd) is the source of this 107-nucleotide small nucleolar RNA. The record is from RefSeq and is a predicted model, not a curated record. Lineage: Eukaryota; Viridiplantae; Streptophyta; Magnoliopsida; Cucurbitales; Cucurbitaceae.
AAGCCAUUAUGCGGACAAUCUCUUACCAACCUUUUAAACCUCGCCCAGGCGUCACUGAGCGAUUCAUUAAUAUCCUGUUCAGAAUUAGUGAUCAACUUCCUCUUUCU